AUUGGGGAACAAAAAAUUCCAGGGAAAAUCCCAUCCAAUGAAGGUUAAGGGGGGCAGCACCCCAAGGUCAGGGGCGACGAUUGGGUCUUCAGGUCAGUGUCCAGGCUCGCCUCUGCACGGACACCCCUGGACCUGGAGAAGGGUGGGGAGGGCUCUGACACCGCUGUGCCUAGGCGCCUGUCACCCAGCCCGGGAGGUGACCCAGACCACAGGCGAGGAUGGCCUCCCACAGCCUGCGCCCCCCGCCCCGGGGAGACCCGUCAGGCCCCAGCGCUGACUCAGGGAGUGUGAAGUGACUGAGAUCCGACAAAGCACCUUCUGUGACCACGGUGGAAGGACACUGGCAUCCUAACAGGAGGAAAGCAGGGAAAUCCAGGAAUGUGUGGGAAUCCCGCAACAGACACUCAGACAGCCAGGGUCCAAGAAGAGGUAGGAGAGGUCCGGAGACUGCUGAGGGCGGCCAGAGCUGUGAGCCGAGGGCCACCCGCGGCCGUGAAUGUCCACCAGAACCAAGGGUCUCAAUCCAGAUCCCAAGUCCACACCUCCACGACCCAGAACAAGUGGCUGGACGGAGGCGUCAUGGCCCAUGCUGGCCCCCAGCACCCUGACCGCUGUUCCAUCGCCCUUGGGCCCCGGCCCAGGUGGCAGGUCGGCUGUGAGUCUGGCCGCCCCCCUUUCCUCUCCGUCUCUCCGUGACGCAGUCCUGGUGCGUCUCCUGUGGAUCCUGCUGAGUCCGUUCUACGUGGAGCUCUUUGAAUUUCCUGGAGGAGUAGAUUCCUGUGUCCCCUCAGACGUGGACACAUUUCACUGUCUCUUCAAUGUUUUAAAAUUUCCUAUUUAAUAAACACGAGCGCAAUUCCCCCGUUUGCA
Molecule: non-coding RNA, 870 nt
Organism: Ictidomys tridecemlineatus (thirteen-lined ground squirrel)
Lineage: Eukaryota; Metazoa; Chordata; Mammalia; Rodentia; Sciuridae
Source: RefSeq, a predicted model, not a curated record